GGGUAUGACUCAGGGGUAGAGCACUUGCCUAGCAUGCAUGAGGCCCUGGGUUCUAUCCCCAGCAGCACG
Molecule: transfer RNA, 69 nt
Filed under: Marmota monax (woodchuck)
Lineage: Eukaryota; Metazoa; Chordata; Mammalia; Rodentia; Sciuridae
Description: tRNA.Ala
Source: RNAcentral